CAGUAGCCGCGGGAAUACGUAGGGUCCGAGCGUUGUCCGGAAUUAUUGGGCGUAAAGGGCUCGUAGGCGGUUUGUUGCGUCGGGAGUGAAAACACCAGGCUUAACUUGGUGCUUGCUUUCGAUACGGGCAGACUUGAGGCAUGCAGGGGAGAACGGAAUUCCUGGUGUAGCGGUGAAAUGCGCAGAUAUCAGGAGGAACACCGGUGGCGAAGGCGGUUCUCUGGGCAUGUUCUGACGCUGAGGAGCGAAAGUGUGGGGAGCGAACAGGAUUAGAUACCCCUGUAGUCCCUGUCUCUUAUAC
Molecule: ribosomal RNA, 301 nt
Filed under: uncultured bacterium
Lineage: Bacteria
Description: partial 16S ribosomal RNA
Rfam family: Bacterial small subunit ribosomal RNA
Source: RNAcentral